AGGGCAAGUCUGGUGCCAGCAGCCGCGGUAAUUCCAGCUCCAAUAGCGUAUAUUAAAGUUGUUGCAGUUGAAAAGCUCGUAGUUGAAUUUCGGGGUUCUACCGUUGGUCGGGCUUUGUCUGUACUGGUGUGUAGAAUUUCUACCUUCUGGGGAACCAUCAUGCUAUUAAUUUAGCGUGGUGGGAAACCAGGACCUUUACCUUGAAAAAAUUAGUGUGUUCAAAGCAGGCUUAUGUCUGAAUACAUUAGCGUGGAAUAAUAGAAUAGGACGGUGGUCCUGUUUUGUUGGUUUCUGAAUCACCGUAAUGAUUAAUAGGGAUAGUUGGGGGCAUUAGUAUUCAAUUGUCAGAGGUGAAAUUCUUGGAUUUAUUGAAGACUAACUUCUGCGAAAGCAUUUGCCAAGGAUGUUUUCAUUAAUCAAGAACGAAAGUUAGGGGAUCGAAGACGAUCAGAUACCGUCGUAGUCUUAACCAUAAACUAUGCCGACUAGGGAUCGGACGAUGUUAAUUUUUCUUGACUCGUUCGGCGCCUUACGGGAAAC
This 540-nucleotide ribosomal RNA is filed under the name uncultured Glomeromycotina. RNAcentral describes it as "SSU rRNA". It matches the Rfam family "Eukaryotic small subunit ribosomal RNA", at positions 552 to 1098 of the family's 1831-position model. Lineage: Eukaryota; Fungi; Glomeromycota. The record is from RNAcentral.